This 376-nucleotide ribosomal RNA is filed under the name uncultured Citrobacter sp. Its description in RNAcentral is "bacterial SSU rRNA". It matches the Rfam family "Bacterial small subunit ribosomal RNA", at positions 523 to 898 of the family's 1533-position model. Lineage: Bacteria; Pseudomonadati; Pseudomonadota; Gammaproteobacteria; Enterobacterales; Enterobacteriaceae. The record is from RNAcentral.
AUACGGAGGGUGCAAGCGUUAAUCGGAAUUACUGGGCGUAAAGCGCACGCAGGCGGUCUGUCAAGUCGGAUGUGAAAUCCCCGGGCUCAACCUGGGAACUGCAUUCGAAACUGGCAGGCUUGAGUCUCGUAGAGGGGGGUAGAAUUCCAGGUGUAGCGGUGAAAUGCGUAGAGAUCUGGAGGAAUACCGGUGGCGAAGGCGGCCCCCUGGACGAAGACUGACGCUCAGGUGCGAAAGCGUGGGGAGCAAACAGGAUUAGAUACCCUGGUAGUCCACGCCGUAAACGAUGUCUAUUUGGAGGUUGUGCCCUUGAGGUGUGGCUUCCGGAGCUAACGCGUUAAAUAGACCGCCUGGGGAGUACGGCCGCAAGGUUAAA